This 535-nucleotide long non-coding RNA is filed under the name Fukomys damarensis (Damara mole-rat). RNAcentral's name for it is "lncRNA (ENSFDAG00000029722.1)". The record is from RNAcentral. Lineage: Eukaryota; Metazoa; Chordata; Mammalia; Rodentia; Bathyergidae.
GUGUAAUCACAGGACCUCCGUCCCCAAACCAGCCCUUCAUUAGGCUGUCAUGAAGGAUAAAACUGGAGGCGAAGGAGGGGGGCAGACUGGGACGAGAUGUGGCUUUCUUCUUAUGUCAAAUGCAGUGGAGCUUUCCCUUCCCCUGCUGGCUGCCAACAUGCAAGAGUUCUGUUACUCAACUGGCGCAAAGUUCAGGGCUGCUACGUUCUGUGUCAAACCUGGAAAACGAUACUUCUCACUUACGUGUUUUCUUCAUGAAGGGACAUUUAAAAAAGUACAGCGGAGUAAGAAGAACGAGAAAGGUUAAGAAUCUUCAUACGUAGGACAAGAGAGGAGAAAACAGAUGGAGAGAACAAACCUUCCUCUGCCUGUGUCUGAAUUCUAUGCACACGAAAGAGAACUUUCAACGCAGUGGGUCCCGCUUGUGAGGGACCAUUGGAAACUCAGCUUGAGAGUAAAAAGAAGUGUUUCUGCCAUCUCGAACCCAACUGAUAUGGGUGCCUUUCAGAAGUGCAAAAAUGUGUAAAUAUACAAG